CAGCAGCCGCGGGAAUACGUAGGGUGCAAGCGUUAAUCGGAAUUACUGGGCGUAAAGCGUGCGCAGGCGGUUGUGUAAGACAGGUGUGAAAUCCCCGGGCUUAACCUGGGAAUGGCAGUGGAUACUGGCUCGCUAGAGUGUGUCAGAGGAUGGUGGAAUUCCCGGUGUAGCGGUGAAAUGCGUAGAGAUCGGGAGGAACAUCAGUGGCGAAGGCGGCCAUCUGGGACAACACUGACGCUGAGGCACGAAAGCGUGGGGAGCAAACAGGAUUAGAUACCCGCGUAGUCCCUGUCUCUUAUAA
Molecule: ribosomal RNA, 301 nt
Filed under: uncultured bacterium
Lineage: Bacteria
Description: partial 16S ribosomal RNA
Rfam family: Bacterial small subunit ribosomal RNA
Source: RNAcentral